This 253-nucleotide ribosomal RNA is filed under the name uncultured bacterium. Its description in RNAcentral is "partial 16S ribosomal RNA". It matches the Rfam family "Bacterial small subunit ribosomal RNA", at positions 524 to 776 of the family's 1533-position model. The record is from RNAcentral.
UACGAAGGGGGCUAGCGUUGUUCGGAAUUACUGGGCGUAAAGCGCGCGCAGGCGGCUAUCCAAGUCAGUGGUGAAAGCCCGGAGCUUAACUCCGGAACUGCCAUUGAAACUGUUUAGCUUGAGGACGAGAGAGGUGAGUGGAAUUCCCAGUGUAGAGGUGAAAUUCGUAGAUAUUGGGAAGAACACCGGUGGCGAAGGCGGCUCACUGGCUCGUAACUGACGCUCAUGCACGACAGCGUGGGGAUCAAACAGG